AUGGAGAAGCUUGAUGAAGAAGCCGAGAAUGAAGUGGCGAGCAUAAAAGAAAUGCAGAGCCAGUUUCCCUCGGAUGCAGUGUAUUAUUACACUGACUCUGAGGAUAGACAACAGUCUACUGAGGCUACUCCACCAAUGGUGAAAAUCCCCUACAGAAUGAUGCUGGAUGUCCUUUUAGAAUCUUUGGGCCUGCCAGAGGCUGAGUAUCGAACCAAAGAAUGCGUAUGCGAGGGUGGUUCGAAGUUACGAAGAACCCCAUUUUCGUUCAGAUAUGCACGCCUUUUUGUCAUCCGGAGUCUUUGCAUUUAG
Molecule: ribosomal RNA, 309 nt
Filed under: Triticum aestivum (bread wheat)
Lineage: Eukaryota; Viridiplantae; Streptophyta; Magnoliopsida; Poales; Poaceae
Description: partial small subunit ribosomal RNA
Source: RNAcentral